Molecule: ribosomal RNA, 492 nt
Filed under: uncultured bacterium
Lineage: Bacteria
Description: partial 16S ribosomal RNA
Rfam family: Bacterial small subunit ribosomal RNA
Source: RNAcentral
AGUGAACGCUGGCGGUAUGCCUAACACAUGCAAGUCGAACGGCAGCACAGUAAGAGCUUUCUCUUACUGUUGGCGAGUGGCGGACGAGUGAGGAAUACAUCGGAAUCUACUUUUUCGGGGGGGAUAACGUAGGGAAACUUACGCUAAUACCUCAUACUACCUACGGGUUGAAUCAAAGGAUCUUCAGACCUUUCGCGUUACAAUUAGCCGAUGUCGGAUUAGCUAGUUGGCUGGGUAAAGGCCCACCAAGGCGACGAUCCGUAGCUGGUCUGAGAGGAUGAUCAGCCACACUGGAACUGAGACACGGUCCAGACUCCUACGGGAGGCAGCAGUGGGGAAUAUUGGACAAUGGGCGAAAGCCUGAUCCAGCCAUACCGCGUGGGUGAAGAAGGCCUUCGGGUUGUAAAGCCCCUUUGUUGGGAAAGAAAAGCAGCAGGUUAAUACCCCGAUGUUCUGACGGUACCUAAAGAAUAAGCAACGGCUAACUUCGUG